UAUAUAUAUAUAUAUAUAUAUAUAUAUUAUAAAAUAUUAAAAAUCAUUAAAAAAAUACAAAUCAUAUAUAUUAUAACCUUAAAAUAUUAAAAUAAAUAUUAGAAAUUAUAAUUAUGCAACUAAAAUAUAAAACUAAAACUACUAUCAUAUAACACAAAAAAAAAAUCAUUAAAAUUAUAAAACAUAAACUCCCCCAUAAAUCCCCCUAAUUCUCUUAGCUCCCUCCCACAUUUUUCAUCUGUUUAUAAUCUUCAUAUUAAAACAUAAAAACAAAAAUUAAAACUCUCAAAAACUAUAUACCCGACUCCCCCAAUCUCUCUCUAAGAACCCUAGUUCAUUUAUCCCCAUCUCCGGACUCCCUAAAUCCACUUCGAAUUACUUCUCCAAAAUCCUCAAACCCACUUCGAUCUCUUCUAUACAACUCACUGCUCGCCAUCUCACUACUGCUCAGGCUGAUAGGUUAACGACUUCGAGAAAUUGAUGGCAAGUGCAGGUUAAUUCGCAAGAUCCGUCAAGAUCGUGCUGCUCUGGCCGAGUUUUAUGCUCUUUGGCUUGUACUAUGAACUCUCCUUGUGAGGGACCUCUUCUAGAGGAUGCUCCAGCAUGGUGUUUGGAAAAUUUUGAACCCGAAGGAAUUUUUGUAAGGUCCUUCUCUAUACCCUUUUUACUGAUAGUAUUUCAGCACUGUGAGGACAUCUGCCCUCUUGUAAUGUUGAUAAGCAUUUCCUCAUUUGGAAUAGGACUGCAACAACUUUUUCAUUUUUGGUUUACAUAGAGAUGCGUAUGAGUUACUGCUGUUCAGGAUCUAAUAGUAGAAGUUUGUAAAUGGAAUUGGUGUAGAGGUAUGUGCUUUGUCAGGUUGUUUAUAUUUAUGUACAUAAAAGUCUUGGUCUUUUGUUAUCAAGAGUCGUUAAGUUUACAGAAUUCUGUCGAAUUAAUCUAUAUAGGAUUCUAAGAAAUUGCUAUAAAGUCAUGGCUACUUUAACCAAAAAAGCACAAUCAUAUAACUUAGAAGAGUUGUUCAAUAUUAAUUGCAGCUCUAUCUCCACUAUCCUCUCAACAGUUAUUGGGGUGAAUUUUGGCCAUGUUCUCAUCCAUAUAAAGGUUUUCCCUGUAUAUUACUGCUAAAUUGUGAUUAUAGUAAUUCCUUUUUGUACUAUAAGCUGUAUAUAUAAAAUGUAGGAUAAUUCCACUAGAUUGAAACAUUGGAUUGUGAUGGGCCUGUCCCUCCUUCUCCUCGACAUUAUUCUACAUUUUACACAUGGUGAGAAAUGUAUUGUUUGAAAAUAAAUCACUUGUUUUCCUUUUACCAUCCUUGUAUUUUUUUUGUUCUGAUCCUUUUUCCUCCGAGCAGCAAUGCCUAGUAUAGAACAGCCAGGUAAAGUAUAAGAACACAUGCUCCUAGCUUUUCCUAGUACACACAUGAAGGUUGGUAAUCCAUGUAUCUUCGUGCAUUAUAUAAUUAUUAUAUAUGACUGAGGUUUACCUACUAUGGAGUGCAACAGCCUAACACUAGUUUGGUUCUUGCAGGAUAAGUGGGCCAAGAAUCUAUAUAUUGCAUCUGUUUGUUAUGGCCGUACACUUUCAUAGCCUCAACAAUCUACUCAAAAUGACCAGGAUGAUAAGCGCAAGGCACUUUUGGAGGUGAUUAAAAAAACCGGUGUCACAUCUUACAAAGAAAUACCCUCCCAUGCUAUACCUCUGAUCACCAAGAAAAGUGUUGAAUAGCUUAUUGAUCCAUUGCAUGCCGUUGUGUACGAUGCAGAGCAGAUAAAUCGCAUGCUUGCAGUUGCUUCUAUGUAGCUUAGAUUAGAUAUUUAGAUUAAAUAGAUGUGUAGUAAUUGAUCGAUAUUGGAUUUGAUGGAUGUGUAAUAGGUGAAAUUGGAAUUUGAUGGAUGUAUACAAUUAAUUUAUAAAUGCAUU
Daucus carota subsp. sativus is the source of this 1923-nucleotide long non-coding RNA. RefSeq lists it as uncharacterized. NCBI's taxonomy places the organism in Eukaryota, Viridiplantae, Streptophyta, Magnoliopsida, Apiales, Apiaceae. The transcript is spliced from 5 exons. The record is from RefSeq and is a predicted model, not a curated record.